GUGCUAUAAAAGACAAUUCCACGCAUCAACUUGACGCAUUCCGUUCACAGGAUAACUACAAAUUUUAACCCGGUUACUAUAAAAUUCUAUCACUGUAUAGUAUUUUUAGGAAACGAAAUAACUUGAGAAAUUAGAAGGGUGAAGACAGAAAGAGUAGGUGUAGACUUGUAGCUGAUAGAAUGAUCAUAGGAAUAACAACCCGGCUGUUGCUGCUAACGACUUUACUUGCAGUAUUAGUGAUAGUUGAAAACGAGGCUAGGAGCCAUUAUCAGCUGGCCUGUGAUCCACGUAGUGCGCAUAUGUCAUGCCUUAUGGGAUGUUUGACGUGUUUUGAUUCGUAUGGCGGGGAACUGUAUGAUACGGCUGCUUGUUGUCGAGACUGUCAGGAUUACAACGCUAAUCUUAUUGACUACGGACCGGCUGAUUGUUCCCAUAAGUAUAUUAGAAGCAGC
Molecule: long non-coding RNA, 452 nt
Organism: Patella vulgata (common limpet)
Lineage: Eukaryota; Metazoa; Mollusca; Gastropoda; Patellidae
Exons: 3
Source: RefSeq, a predicted model, not a curated record